Molecule: ribosomal RNA, 565 nt
Filed under: uncultured delta proteobacterium
Lineage: Bacteria; Deltaproteobacteria
Description: bacterial SSU rRNA
Rfam family: Bacterial small subunit ribosomal RNA
Source: RNAcentral
CCUACGGGGGGCAGCAGUGGGGAAUCUUGCGCAAUGGACGAAAGUCUGACGCAGCAACGCCGCGUGUGUGAUGAAGGCCUGUGGGUCGUAAAGCACUGNCAGGAGGGAAGAAGGUCUGACGUGUACCUCCAAAGGAAGCACCGGCUAACUCCGUGCCAGCAGCCGCGGUAAUACGGAGGGUGCAAGCGUUGUUCGGAAUCAUUGGGCGUAAAGCGCACGCAGGCUGCUAUUCAAGUCUGAUGUGAAAGCCCAGAGCUCAACUCUGGAACUGCAUUGGAAACUGAGUAGCUUGAAUCCGAGAGGGGUUAGUGGAAUUCCAGGUGUAGGGGUGAAAUCCGUAGAGAUCUGGAGGAACACCGGUGGCGAAGGCGACUGACUGGAUCGGUAUUGACGCUGAGGUGCGAAAGCGCGGGGAGCGAACAGGAUUAGAUACCCUGGUAGUCCGCGCCGUAAACGAUGCUCACUAGCCGCUGGGACCUUGGUUGUUUCAGUAGCGUAGCUAACGCGUUAAGUGAGCCGCCUGGGGAGUACGGUCGCAAGAUUAAAACUCAAAUGAAUUGACGGA